Molecule: ribosomal RNA, 440 nt
Filed under: uncultured bacterium
Lineage: Bacteria
Description: partial 16S ribosomal RNA
Rfam family: Bacterial small subunit ribosomal RNA
Source: RNAcentral
CCUACGGGAGGCAGCAGUAGGGAAUAUUGCUCAAUGGGGGAAACCCUGAAGCAGCAACGCCGCGUGGAGGAUGAAGGUUUUCGGAUUGUAAACUCCUUUUGUUAGAGAAGAUAAUGACGGUAUCUAACGAAUAAGCACCGGCUAACGCCGUGCCAGCAGCCGCGGUAAUACGGAGGGUGCACGCGUUACUCGGAAUCACUGGGUAUAAAGAGCGCGUAGGCGGGUUAGCAAGUCAGAUGUGAAAUCCUAUGGCUUAACCAUAGAACUGCAUUUGAAACUGUUAUUCUAGAGUAUGGGAGAGGUAGGUGGAAUGCUUGGUGUAGCGGUAAAAUCCGUAGAGAUCAAGAGGAAUACUCAUUGCGAAGGCGACCUGCUAGAACAAAACUGACGCUGAUGCGCGAAAGCGUGGGGAGCGAACAGGAUUAGAUACCCGAGUAGUC